RNAcentral lists this ribosomal RNA (440 nucleotides) under uncultured bacterium. RNAcentral describes it as "partial 16S ribosomal RNA". It matches the Rfam family "Bacterial small subunit ribosomal RNA", at positions 338 to 795 of the family's 1533-position model. The record is from RNAcentral.
CCUACGGGAGGCAGCAGUGGGGAAUAUUGCACAAUGGGGGAAACCCUGAUGCAGCGACGCCGCGUGAGUGAAGAAGUAUUUCGGUACGUAAAGCUCUAUCAGCAGGGAAGAAAAUGACGGUACCUGACUAAGAAGCCCCGGCUAACUACGUGCCAGCAGCCGAGGUAAUACGUAGGGGGCAAGCGUUAUCCGGCUUUACUGGUUGUAAAGGGAGCGUAGACGGCAGCGCAAGUCUGGAGUGAAAUCCCAUGGCUUAACCAUGGAACUGCUUUGGAAACUGUGCAGCUAGAGUGCAGGAGAGGUAAGCGGAAUUCCUAGUGUAGCGGUGAAAUGCGUAGAUAUUAGGAGGAACACCAGUGGCGAAGGCGGCUUACUGGACUGUAACUGACGUUGAGGCUCGAAAGCGUGGGGAGCAAACAGGAUUAGAUACCCCAGUAGUC